UAAAAAUACAAAAGUAUCACAGCACACUAUUACUGAAACAUUACUUAUUUUCUCAUUGUUACCAUAUAGUUAUAAAAUAAAUUUAUUGGAAUAUAAAUGUUGUACUUACAUUACAGUAUGUAGUAUAUAGUGCAGUAUAAAAAAGUUU
Long non-coding RNA from Chelonia mydas (Green sea turtle), 148 nucleotides. RefSeq lists it as uncharacterized. Lineage: Eukaryota; Metazoa; Chordata; Testudines; Cheloniidae. The record is from RefSeq and is a predicted model, not a curated record. The transcript is spliced from 3 exons.